AGACGGGGAUAACGUUGGGAAACCAGCGCUAAUACCCGAUGACCCCGAAGCUAGGCAUCUAGCAACGGGCAAAUGGAUUCCGCUCAUAGAGGAGGUCACGGCCUAUCAGCUUGUUGGUGAGGUAAUGGCUCACCAAGGCUAUGACGGGUAGCUGGCGUGAGAGCGCGACCAGCCACACCGGGACUGAGACACGGCCCGGACUCCUACGGGAGGCAGCAGUAGGGAAUAUUGGACAAUGGGCGAAAGCCUGAUCCAGCGACGCCGCGUGGAGGAUGAAGGCCUUCGGGUUGUAAACUCCUGUUGUGAGGAAAAAAGCCGCAAGGUGAUGGUACCUCACGAGGAAGCCCCGGCUAACUACGUGCCAGCAGCCGCGGUAAGACGUAGGGGGCGAGCGUUAUCCGGAUUCACUGGGCGUAAAGGGCGUGUAGGCGGUUACAUAAGUCCGGCGUGAAAUCUCACGGCUUAACCGUGGAACUGCGUCGGAUACUGUGUUGACUUGAGGACGGUAGAGGUAAGUGGAACUAGCGGUGUAGCGGUGAAAUGCGCAGAUAUCGCUAGGAACGCCGGUGGCGAAGGCUACUUACUGGGCCGAUCCUGACGCUGAGGCGCGAAAGCUAGGGGAGCGAACCGGAUUAGAUACCCGGGUAGUCCUAGCCGUAAACGGUGGGUGCUAGGUGUGGGGACCGCGAGGUUUCCGUGCCGCAGCUAACGCAUUAAGCACCCCGCCUGGGGAGUACGGCCGCAAGGCUAAAACUCAAAGGAAUUGACGGAAUCGAAUU
RNAcentral lists this ribosomal RNA (779 nucleotides) under uncultured bacterium. RNAcentral describes it as "bacterial SSU rRNA". It matches the Rfam family "Bacterial small subunit ribosomal RNA", at positions 135 to 925 of the family's 1533-position model. The record is from RNAcentral.